UGGGGGAUAUUGCACAAUGGGGGAACCCCUGAUGCAGCAACGCCGCGUGAAGGAAGAAGGUCUUCGGAUUGUAAACUUCUGUCCUCAGGGAAGAUAAUGACGGUACCUGAGGAGGAAGCUCCGGCUAACUACGUGCCAGCAGCCGCGGUAAUACGUAGGGAGCGAGCGUUGUCCGGAUUUACUGGGUGUAGAGGGUGCGUAGGCGGAUCUGCAAGUCAGUAGUGAAAUCCCAGGGCUUAACCCUGGAACUGCUAUUGAAACUGUGGGUCUUGAGUGAGGUAGAGGCAGGCGGAAUUCCCGGUGUAGCGGUGAAAUGCGUAGAGAUCGGGAGAACACCGUGCAGCGCUGCUGGGCCUUAACUGACGCUGAGGCACGAAAGCAUGGGUAGCAAACAGGAUAGAUACCC
Molecule: ribosomal RNA, 406 nt
Filed under: uncultured bacterium
Lineage: Bacteria
Description: bacterial SSU rRNA
Rfam family: Bacterial small subunit ribosomal RNA
Source: RNAcentral